RNAcentral lists this ribosomal RNA (309 nucleotides) under Triticum aestivum (bread wheat). RNAcentral describes it as "partial small subunit ribosomal RNA". The record is from RNAcentral. Lineage: Eukaryota; Viridiplantae; Streptophyta; Magnoliopsida; Poales; Poaceae.
AUGGUAGUGCAAUUCUGUGAUGAGAUUAUUGAGAACGACAGCUUAGUAACAUUCCAAAAAUGGUACUCUUUCUUAUUUCAGAAAAUUACCAAGAGGGUCCUUUUUGUUUGGAACAUGAUCACGGAAGUUGCUGGAUUUGCACCAUAUGAGAAGCGUGUCACCGAGAUUCUGAAGGUUGGAAAAGAUAAAUGUGCACUCAAGGUAGCCAAGAGAAAGCUAGGCACACACAAGAGAGCCAAGAAGCGUGAGGAGAUGUCCGGUGUUCUUAGGAAGAUGAGAGCUGCUGGAACCGCCGAGAGGAAGAAGUGA